AAAAUCCCUCCCACCUUCCUGCGGGACCAAAACGUCGCCGGGACUGCUGACAGGGAUCUGCAUGGGGAGGUCUGAACGUGGCCACUUCUCUCUCACCGAGGAGCCCAGGGCAGGGAGGGAGGGGCGUGCCGGACGGAACUUGCAACGCUGAGAGAGAGCGAGCGAGCAAGAGAGUGCACAUGUGUACGCAAGCAAGGGAAGGGCAGAGAGAAAGGAAGAGAGAAUCCCCAGCAGGCUCUGCACUGUCAGCCCAGAGCCUGGUGGGGGCCUCGAACUCAUGAACCGCAAGAUCACGACCUGAGCCGAAAUCAAGAGUCAAACGUUCAACUGACUGAGCCACCCAGGCGCCCCAAAUAAGAUUCUUAUCCCUGAAAUAAUCAGAGUGUUAUUU
Molecule: long non-coding RNA, 391 nt
Filed under: Felis catus (domestic cat)
Lineage: Eukaryota; Metazoa; Chordata; Mammalia; Carnivora; Felidae
Description: lncRNA (ENSFCAG00000053348.1)
Source: RNAcentral